CCUACGGGAGGCAGCAGUGAGGAAUAUUGGACAAUGGGCGCAAGCCUGAUCCAGCCAUGCCGCGUGCAGGAAGAAGCAUCUAUGGUGUGUAAACUGCUUUUGUACAGGAAGAAACACUCCCUCGUGAGGGAGCUUGACGGUACUGUAAGAAUAAGGACCGGCUAACUCCGUGCCAGCAGCCGCGGUAAUACGGAGGGUCCGAGCGUUAUCCGGAAUCAUUGGGUUUAAAGGGUCCGUAGGCGGUUUAAUAAGUCAGUGGUGAAAUCUGGUCGCUCAACGAUCAAACGGCCAUUGAUACUGUUAGACUUGAAUUAUAAGGAAGUAACUAGAAUAUGUAGUGUAGCGGUGAAAUGCUUAGAUAUUACAUGGAAUACCAAUUGCGAAGGCAGGUUACUACUUAUGGAUUGACGCUGAUGGACGAAAGCGUGGGGAGCGAACAGGAUUAGAUACCCUGGUAGUCCACGCCGUAAACGAUGGAUACUAGCUGUUCGGAGCAAUCUGAGUGACUAAGCGAAAGUGAUAAGUAUCCCACCUGGGGAGUACGUUCGCAAGAAUGAAACUCAAAGGAAUUGACGG
RNAcentral lists this ribosomal RNA (576 nucleotides) under uncultured bacterium. RNAcentral describes it as "bacterial SSU rRNA". It matches the Rfam family "Bacterial small subunit ribosomal RNA", at positions 338 to 916 of the family's 1533-position model. The record is from RNAcentral.